GACGAACGCUGGCGGCGUGCUUAACACAUGCAAGUCGAACGAGAAUCUGUGGAAAGAGGAUUCGUCCAAUUGAAGCAGAGGACAGUGGCGGACGGGUGAGUAACGCGUGAGGAACCUGCCUUUCAGAGGGGGACAACAGUUGGAAACGACUGCUAAUACCGCAUAAGACCACAGUACCGCAUGGUACAGGGGUCAAAGAAUUAUCGGUACAGGAUGGACUCGCGUCCCAUUAGCUAGUUGGCGGGAUAACAGCCCACCAAGGCGACGAUGGGUAGCCGACCUGAGAGGGUGAUCGGCCACACUGGGACUGAGACACGGCCCAGACUCCUACGGGAGGCAGCAGUGGGGAAUAUUGGGCAAUGGGCGCAAGCCUGACCCAGCAACGCCGCGUGAAGGAAGAAGGUCUUCGGAUUGUAAACUUUUGUCGCCGGGAACGGAUAAUGACGGUACCCGGUAAGAAAGCCCCGGCUAACUACGUG
This 479-nucleotide ribosomal RNA is filed under the name uncultured bacterium. RNAcentral's name for it is "bacterial SSU rRNA". It matches the Rfam family "Bacterial small subunit ribosomal RNA", at positions 28 to 507 of the family's 1533-position model. The record is from RNAcentral.